This is a long non-coding RNA of Homo sapiens (human), 545 nucleotides long. The record is from Ensembl. NCBI's taxonomy places the organism in Eukaryota, Metazoa, Chordata, Mammalia, Primates, Hominidae.
UCCUGAGUUACCAGCCUGCAUCCUCCUCCAUCAGAUUUUGGACUCAUCAAGCCUCCACAAUCAUAUAAAGGUGACCCUAGAAGCAUGGCCAUAAACUACCUCAAGAAUGGACAUCUUCAACCAAGUCAAUUAGCAGCAACUGUCCAAAUAUCUGGUUCAUAUGCUGUCUGUAGCCUCCUUGACCCAAACUACCAACUCUGAAACAUGAAAGAGUAGAGGAAGAAGAAGAGGAAGACUGGGUUGUUCUGUUUUAGACACAGGCUGAGUCAUUGCAGCCAGAUUCAAUCAGUGCAAAAGAGAAGGAUUUGGAACAAUUUGGUUAGUUUCCUUCCACCCAAAUGUCUAGACACCCGAAGGGGUGUGCAGCCCGACCUCUCGCUAUUCCUGUUAAAGGCUUCUCUUCAUGGAAAAUGUCAUUGGUUAUAUGGUUUGUUUGUAUUAUCUUUGAACUUAAUGUAUACUAUUCUACCUUUGUCAACAUUCAUUCCCAUUUUCUGUAAGCUUUAAACUAUCCCAGAUGCUGAGUAAAUGUGCAUUUGCUGGAA